UGGGGAAUCUUCCGCAAUGGACGAAAGUCUGACGGAGCAACGCCGCGUGAGUGAUGACGGCCUUCGGGUUGUAAAGCUCUGUUAAUCGGGACGAAAGGCCUUCUUGCGAAUAGUUAGAAGGAUUGACGGUACCGGAAUAGAAAGCCACGGCUAACUACGUGCCAGCAGCCGCGGUAAUACGUAGGUGGCAAGCGUUGUCCGGAAUUAUUGGGCGUAAAGCGCGCGCAGGCGGAUUGGUCAGUCUGUCUUAAAAGUUCGGGGCUUAACCCCGUGAUGGGAUGGAAACUGCCAAUCUAGAGUAUCGGAGAGGAAAGUGGAAUUCCUAGUGUAGCGGUGAAAUACGUAGAUAUUAGGAAGAACACCAGUGGCGAAGGCGACUUUCUGGACGAAAACUGACGCUGAGGCGCGAAAGCCAGGGGAGCGAACGGGAUUAGAUACCCCGGUAGUCCUGGCCGUAAACGAUGGGUACUAGGUGUAGGAGGUAUCGACCCCUUCUGUGCCGGAGUUAACGCAAUAAGUACCCCGCCUGGGGAGUACGACCGCAAGGUUG
RNAcentral lists this ribosomal RNA (550 nucleotides) under uncultured bacterium. RNAcentral's name for it is "bacterial SSU rRNA". It matches the Rfam family "Bacterial small subunit ribosomal RNA", at positions 355 to 896 of the family's 1533-position model. The record is from RNAcentral.